This 442-nucleotide ribosomal RNA is filed under the name uncultured Chloroflexota bacterium. RNAcentral's name for it is "bacterial SSU rRNA". It matches the Rfam family "Bacterial small subunit ribosomal RNA", at positions 338 to 795 of the family's 1533-position model. The record is from RNAcentral. Lineage: Bacteria; Bacillati; Chloroflexota.
CCUACGGGUGGCAGCAGCAAGGAAUUUUCCGCAAUGGGCGAAAGCCUGACGGAGCAACGCCGCGUGGGGGAUGAAGCUUUUCGGAGUGUAAACCCCUUUUCUUGGGGACGAAGAAGUGACGGUACCCGAGGAAUAAGGACCGGCUAACUACGUGCCAGCAGCCGCGGUAAUACGUAGGGUCCAAGCGUUGUCCGGAGUUACUGGGCGUAAAGCGCGCGCAGGUGGCUGCGUAAGUCCGGCGUGAAAGCCCCCGGCUCAACCGGGGAGGGUCGUUGGAGACUGCGUGGCUUGAGGGCGGCAGGGGCAGGUGGAAUUCCCGGUGUAGUGGUGAAAUGCGUAGAGAUCGGGAGGAACACCCGUGGCGAAGGCGGCCUGCUGGGCCGACCCUGACACUGAGGCGCGAAGGCGUGGGGAGCGAACGGGAUUAGAUACCCCAGUAGUC